GAUGAACGCUGGCGGCGUGCCUAAUACAUGCAAGUCGUACGGAAAGGCCCUUCGGGGUACUCGAGUGGCGGACGGCUGAGUAACGCGUGGGAACGUGCCCCAAAGUGAGGGAUAACGCACCGAAAGGUGUGCUAAUACCGCAUAUGGUCUUCGGAUUAAAGCUUCGGCGCUUUGGGAGCGGCCCGCGUACGAUUAGAUAGUUGGUGAGGUAAUGGCUCACCAAGUCGACGAUCGUUAGCUGGUCUGAGAGGAUGAUCAGCCAGACUGGGACUGAGACACCGCCCAGACUCCUACGGGAGGCAGCAGUAAGGAAUCUUACACAAUGGGGGCAACCCUGAUGGAGCAACGCCGCGUGCAGGAUGAAGGUUUUCGGAUCGUAAACUGCUUUUAUAAGUGAAGAAUAUGACGGUAACUUAUGAAUAAGGAUCGGCUAACUACGUGCCAGCAGCCGCCGUAA
Molecule: ribosomal RNA, 457 nt
Filed under: uncultured bacterium
Lineage: Bacteria
Description: partial 16S ribosomal RNA
Rfam family: Bacterial small subunit ribosomal RNA
Source: RNAcentral